GAUCAUGGCUCAGGAUGAACGCUAAAAGCUACAGGCUUAACACAUGCAAGUCGAGGGGCAGCAUGGUCUUAGCUUGCUAAGACUGAUGGCGACCGGCGCACGGGUGAGUAACACGUAUCCAACCUGCCGUCUACUCUUGGACAGCCUUCUGAAAGGAAGAUUAAUACAAGAUGGCAUCAUGAGUCCGCAUGUUCACAUGAUUAAAGGUAUUCCGGUAGACGA
This 222-nucleotide ribosomal RNA is filed under the name uncultured bacterium. RNAcentral's name for it is "partial 16S ribosomal RNA". It matches the Rfam family "Bacterial small subunit ribosomal RNA", at positions 15 to 225 of the family's 1533-position model. The record is from RNAcentral.